Vicia villosa (hairy vetch) is the source of this 1557-nucleotide long non-coding RNA. RefSeq lists it as uncharacterized. The transcript has 5 exons. The record is from RefSeq and is a predicted model, not a curated record. Lineage: Eukaryota; Viridiplantae; Streptophyta; Magnoliopsida; Fabales; Fabaceae.
AAAAGAAUUAUCCAUAAAGAAAAAUUCAACUAUGCGUUUCCUUUGCGAUCUAGCUUCGUCUCUUCCUCUCCGAUCGAUCUCGUGUGCAUCUUCAAUCCACUUCGCCUGCAUCUCCGAUCCACUUCGCCUGCAUCUCCGAUCGUCCUUGUCUGCAUCAAUCAAGAUCAUCUGCAUCUUCGUUCGACCUUGUCUGCAUCUCCGAUCGAUGUCUCUGUCUGCGAUCGAAUUCGUCUCAUUCUCGAUUAGAUCUUGUCCCAAUCAUAUUGAUCUAUUAUCCUCUCUCCAAUUCCAAUCGAUUUUCACAUUAUCUCAUCCUUGCUCAUUUUUUCAUAUGAAACCCUAAUCUAGCUGUUUAACAUCUAUAAUUGGUAUUUUGUCAAUUUCAGGUUCUUCCGGUUUCCGAUUGAAUUUGAAAUCCGCAUGUUCUGUUUUGAUUUUUUGUAUCCAGUUGAAGAAAAAAUAUUUGAAGCUUCAAAGAGUCACGAAAUGCUCUAAGAGAAGUUGUGAAGCUGCUUGAACAAAUCGUUAACAAGUUCCAAACUCAGAGUGUGAGCUUCAAAAAAGGGCCACCAAUAUGAGACAGUAUCAAGCUUUGUAUGUGGAAAUUUUGUUCCAUUCAUUAUGAGAGAAGCAAAGUGAUUUUUGAUAUGAAAAAUGAAGAUAUAUGAGUCCAAUUCCAAUACAAACUACCAGGAACAUAAAACACAUUUUUUACUUGAGAGUGGUCAUGGUCAAUUGGGCUAGGAAGAUGACUUUUCGACGGUGUUUUGUGAUUACAUCGGUAACUUCAUAAAGUCCGAUUUAAUGUGUUAUUGAGUCAAAAUUUGAUGCUGGCAAAAGGUCUGUGAGUGUUAUCAAAUUGCGGCGGCAUGGCCGCUAUGGCCGAUAUAUAUGUCAGUUUUUGGGCUUGCCGCAAUUGUAAAUAUCAGCCGAUAUUGCGUGUUUUUUCGCCAUAACCCGCUAUAACGGCGCCUCAAAGAGGCCGAUAUGGCGGGAUUCUGGCUCUCCGCCAUCGACCACACUCCUGUCUGACAUAAGAGUAUUUAUGGGGCCUGAAACCUUCCAAGGAUGGUUGAUCAGAUUUAAAGACACAACAACUCUUAUAUGUCAUUGGUAAGUUCAAAGGAUUAAUUUGUCAUGAAGUUGAAUUGAAUCCAAAGUAGAGACAUGAAGAAGAUGAACAUCACUACUACUUUAGAUUCUUUCCCACACCCUCUGAUUCACCAACCAUAAGAUGUUCACGAGUUAUCAACACUUUUAUGUUAGUUGUUUUGUUAAACUACUGUAGUGUCAAAUGCUUAAAUGCAUAUUUGCAAAUGUAGAGUGAGUUAAUCAAAUGUGAGUAGUUUCAGUCUAUUGUAAACUGAUUUGUGAUGAAAUAAAAGUUAUGAUAAGUUAAGUUGAAAUAGAAUGUGAUUUUGAUGUAUUUUGGUUUUGUCAAUGAUAAUAUAAAAUUGAGUUUUGGUAACUUCAAUGAUUAGUGGAUUAGUCAUGAAGAUAUACAAAUAUGAAAUAAUUUUGUUUACAAUUUAGCUUAAUUAGUUUUGAUUAGAAAUA